AAGACGGAUGCCAAGGCGACCACGUGCCAUGUCCCUCCGCAGGUGCCAGCUUAUACCAACCAUCUGUGUGGAUGCCAUAUUCUCCCGUUUUUCUAGACGAUUUGCAUUUGAAUCUGCUGCGCGCUCGGAGGGGAAGCAGUAAAGGUUUUAAGGGGCUUUUUGAUGAGAGGUUCCGGCAGGACACUUAGGAGCAGCGUUUAGGCUUUCAACUAGAAAGCCAUUAAAGGUGAUCCAGUGGUAAGCAGUUGAGGUGCGCCUCUGCCUGACGAUGGGAGAGAUGUGAGAAAAGGUGCCACAGCAUGAACAGGAGAGGAAGACUGUGUCUCUCUUUGUGUUUGUCACUGCAAGACAUUUUGUCAAGUCCUCAGCAUGGGGAUGUUUGAGGUAUGUGCAUGCCAAGUGCUUACCAACAGAUCUUGUAUCUGGUAAUGACUUCAGUGGAUUUGGCAUACUCCUUCACGUCUCCUGAGAUGAUGGGAGGAUCAAC
Long non-coding RNA from Sardina pilchardus (European sardine), 487 nucleotides. RefSeq lists it as uncharacterized. The transcript is spliced from 3 exons. NCBI's taxonomy places the organism in Eukaryota, Metazoa, Chordata, Actinopteri, Clupeiformes, Clupeidae. The record is from RefSeq and is a predicted model, not a curated record.